RNAcentral lists this ribosomal RNA (440 nucleotides) under uncultured bacterium. Its description in RNAcentral is "partial 16S ribosomal RNA". It matches the Rfam family "Bacterial small subunit ribosomal RNA", at positions 338 to 795 of the family's 1533-position model. The record is from RNAcentral.
CCUACGGGAGGCAGCAGUGGGGAAUAUUGGACAAUGGGGGAAACCCUGAUCCAGCGACGCCGCGUGAGUGAAGAAGUAUUUCGGUACGUAAAGCUCUAUCAGCAGGAAAGAAAAUGACGGUACCUGACUAAGAAGCCCCGGCUAACUACGUGCCAGCAGCCGCGGUCAUACGUAGGGGGCAAGCGGUAUCCGGAUUUACUGGGUGUAAAGGGAGCGUAGACGGCAGCGCAAGGCUGGAGUGAAAUGCGGGGGCCCAACCCCGGAACUGCUCUGGAAACUGUGAAGCUGGAGUGCAGGAGAGGUAAGCGGAAUUCCUGGUGUAGCGGUGAAAUGCGUAGAUAUCAGGAGGAACACCGGCGGCGAAGGCGGCUUACUGGACUGUAACUGACGUUGAGGCUCGAAGGCGUGGGGAGCAAACAGGAUUAGAUACCCCAGUAGUC